AGAGUUUGAUCCUGGCUCAGGAUGAACGCUAGCGACAGGCCUAACACAUGCAAGUCGAGGGGCAUCGCGGGAGAAGCUUGCUUUUCCUGGCGGCGACCGGCGCACGGGUGAGUAACGCGUAUGCAACCUGGCCUCAAUCGGGGUAUAACCCGGAGAAAUCCGGCCUAACACCGUAUGCGACGCGAGACCGCAUGAUCUUGCGUUGAAACACUGGGAUUGAGGAUGGGCAUGCGUCUGAUUAGCUAGUCGGCGGGGCAACGGCCCACCGAGGCGACGAUCAGUAGGGGUUCUGAGAGGAAGGUCCCCCACAUUGGAACUGAGACACGGUCCAAACUCCUACGGGAGGCAGCAGUGAGGAAUAUUGGUCAAUGGGCGAGAGCCUGAACCAGCCAAGUCGCGUGAGGGAAGACGGCCCUAUGGGUUGUAAACCUCUUUUACAUGGGAAUAAAGUGAGCGUCGUGCACGCUCUUUGCAUGUACCAUGAGAAUAAGCAUCGGCUAACUCCGUGCCAGCAGCCGCGGUAAUACGGAGGAUGCGAGCGUUAUCCGGAUUUAUUGGGUUUAAAGGGUGCGUAGGCGGACUUUUAAGUCAGCGGUGAAAUGCUGCGGCUCAACCGUAGAAUUGCCGUUGAAACUGGAGGUCUUGAGUGCAAACGAGGCAGGCGGAAUGCGCCGUGUAGCGGUGAAAUGCUUAGAUAUGGCGCAGAACCCCGAUUGCGAAGGCAGCUUGCCAGCAUGCAACUGACGCUGAGGCACGAAAGCGUGGGUAUCAAACAGGAUUAGAUACCCUGGUAGUCCACGCAGUAAACGAUGGAUGCUCGCGGUUUGCGAUACAGUGUAAGCCGCCAAGCGAAAGCGUUAAGCAUCCCACCUGGGGAGUACGUCGGCAACGAUGAAACUCAAAGGAAUUGACGGGGGCCCGCACAAGCGGAGGAACAUGUGGUUUAAUUCGAUGAUACGCGAGGAACCUUACCCGGGCUUGAAAGUUAGCGACGGAAGCAGAGACGCUUCUUCCCUUCGGGGCGCGAAACUAGGUGCUGCAUGGUUGUCGUCAGCUCGUGCCGUGAGGUGUCGGCUUAAGUGCCAUAACGAGCGCAACCCUUGCCGUUAGUUACUAACAGGUUAUGCUGAGGACUCUAGCGGGACUGCCACCGUAAGGUGUGAGGAAGGCGGGGGUGACGUCAAAUCAGCAUGGCCCUUACGUCCGGGGCGACACACGUGUUACAAUGGGGGGUACAGAGAGCUGGUCUGCGGCGACGCAGAUCGUAUCCUUAAAGCCCUUCUCAGUUCGGAUCGGAGUCUGCAACUCGACUCCGUGAAGCUGGAUUCGCUAGUAAUCGCGCAUCAGCCAUGGCGCGGUGAAUACGUUCCCGGGCCUUGCACACGCCGCCCGUCAAG
This 1397-nucleotide ribosomal RNA is filed under the name uncultured bacterium. RNAcentral describes it as "bacterial SSU rRNA". It matches the Rfam family "Bacterial small subunit ribosomal RNA". The record is from RNAcentral.